Molecule: non-coding RNA, 74 nt
Organism: Myotis brandtii (Brandt's bat)
Lineage: Eukaryota; Metazoa; Chordata; Mammalia; Chiroptera; Vespertilionidae
Source: Rfam
GCCCGUGUUGCUAAAUGGUUAGAGUGCCAGCCUUUAAACCAAAUAGUCAUGGGUUCAAUUCCCGGUCAAGGGCA